Molecule: ribosomal RNA, 481 nt
Filed under: Bacillus licheniformis
Lineage: Bacteria; Bacillati; Bacillota; Bacilli; Caryophanales; Bacillaceae
Description: bacterial SSU rRNA
Rfam family: Bacterial small subunit ribosomal RNA
Source: RNAcentral
AAGUCGAGCGGACAGAUGGGAGCUUGCUCCCUGAUGUCAGCGGCGGACGGGUGAGUAACACGUGGGUAACCUGCCUGUAAGACUGGGAUAACUCCGGGAAACCGGGGCUAAUACCGGAUGCUUGAUUGAACCGCAUGGUUCAAUUAUAAAAGGUGGCUUUUACCUACCACUUACAGAUGGACCCGCGGCGCAUUACCUAGUUGGUGAGGUAACGGCUCACCAAGGCAACAAUGCGUAGCCAACCUGAAAGGGUGAUCGGCCACACUGGGACUGAAACACGGCCCAAACUCCUACGGGAGGCAGCAGUAGGGAAUCUUCCGCAAUGGACAAAAGUCUGACGGACCAACGCCCCGUGAGUGAUGAAGGUUUUCGGAUCGUAAAACUCUGUUGUUAGGGAAAAACAAUUACCGUUCGAAUAGGGCGGUACCUUGACGGUACCUAACCAAAAAGCCACGGCUAACUACUUGCCACCACCCGCGGU